AUUGAACGCUGGCGGCAGGCUUAACACAUGCAAGUCGAGCGGAGCGAGGGUGCUUGCACCUUAGCUUAGCGGCGGACGGGUGAGUAAUGCUUAGGAAUCUGCCUAUUAGUGGGGGACAACAUUCCGAAAGGAAUGCUAAUACCGCAUACGCCCUACGGGGGAAAGCAGGGGAUCUUCGGACCUUGCGCUAAUAGAUGAGCCUAAGUCGGAUUAGCUAGUUGGUGGGGUAAAGGCCUACCAAGGCGACGAUCUGUAGCGGGUCUGAGAGGAUGAUCCGCCACACUGAGACUGAGACACGGCCCAGACUCCUACGGGAGGCAGCAGUGGGGAAUAUUGGACAAUGGGCGGAAGCCUGAUCUAGCCAUGCCGCGUGUGUGAAGAAGGCCUUUUGGUUGUAAAGCACUUUAAGCGAGGAGGAGGCUACUUAGAUUAAUACUCUGGGAUAGUGGACGUUACUCGCAGAAUAAGCACCGGCUAACUCUGUGCCAGCCGCCGCCGUAA
RNAcentral lists this ribosomal RNA (501 nucleotides) under uncultured bacterium. RNAcentral's name for it is "partial 16S ribosomal RNA". It matches the Rfam family "Bacterial small subunit ribosomal RNA", at positions 30 to 523 of the family's 1533-position model. The record is from RNAcentral.